RNAcentral lists this ribosomal RNA (550 nucleotides) under Salmonella enterica subsp. enterica serovar Wangata. RNAcentral's name for it is "bacterial SSU rRNA". It matches the Rfam family "Bacterial small subunit ribosomal RNA", at positions 965 to 1515 of the family's 1533-position model. Lineage: Bacteria; Pseudomonadati; Pseudomonadota; Gammaproteobacteria; Enterobacterales; Enterobacteriaceae. The record is from RNAcentral.
AGAACCUUACCUGGUCUUGACAUCCACGGAAGUUUUCAGAGAUGAGAAUGUGCCUUCGGGAACCGUGAGACAGGUGCUGCAUGGCUGUCGUCAGCUCGUGUUGUGAAAUGUUGGGUUAAGUCCCGCAACGAGCGCAACCCUUAUCCUUUGUUGCCAGCGAUUAGGUCGGGAACUCAAAGGAGACUGCCAGUGAUAAACUGGAGGAAGGUGGGGAUGACGUCAAGUCAUCAUGGCCCUUACGACCAGGGCUACACACGUGCUACAAUGGCGCAUACAAAGAGAAGCGACCUCGCGAGAGCAAGCGGACCUCAUAAAGUGCGUCGUAGUCCGGAUUGGAGUCUGCAACUCGACUCCAUGAAGUCGGAAUCGCUAGUAAUCGUGGAUCAGAAUGCCACGGUGAAUACGUUCCCGGGCCUUGUACACACCGCCCGUCACACCAUGGGAGUGGGUUGCAAAAGAAGUAGGUAGCUUAACCUUCGGGAGGGCGCUUACCACUUUGUGAUUCAUGACUGGGGUGAAGUCGUAACAAGGUAACCGUAGGGGAACCUGC